Molecule: ribosomal RNA, 432 nt
Filed under: uncultured bacterium
Lineage: Bacteria
Description: partial 16S ribosomal RNA
Rfam family: Bacterial small subunit ribosomal RNA
Source: RNAcentral
AACGAACGCUGGCGGCAUGCCUAACACAUGCAAGUCGAACGAGACCUUCGGGUCUAGUGGCGCACGGGUGCGUAACGCGUGGGAACCUGCCCUUAGGUUCGGAAUAACUCCCCGAAAGGGGUGCUAAUACCGGAUAAUGUCUUCGGACCAAAGAUUUAUCGCCGUUGGAUGGGCCCGCGUUUGUUUAGCUAGUUGGUAGGGUAAAAGCCUACCAAGGCGACGAUCCAUAGCUGGUCUGAGAGGAUGAUCAGCAACACUGGGACUGAGACACGGCCCAGACUCCUGCGGGAGGCAGCAGUGGGGAAUAUUGGACAAUGGGCGAAAGCCUGAUCCAGCAAUGCCGCGUGAGUGAUGAAGGCCUUAGGGUUGUAAAGCUCUUUUACACGGGAUGAUAAUGACAGUACCGGGAGAAUAAGCUCCGGCUAACUCCGU